ACGGGAGGCAGCAGUGGGGAAUAUUGGACAAUGGGCGCAAGCCUGAUCCAGCCAUGCCGCGUGAGUGAUGAAGGCCUUAGGGUUGUAAAGCUCUUUUGUCCGGGACGAUAAUGACGGUACCGGAAGAAUAAGCCCCGGCUAACUUCGUGCCAGCAGCCGCGGUAAUACGAAGGGGGCUAGCGUUGCUCGGAAUCACUGGGCGUAAAGGGCGCGUAGGCGGCCAUUCAAGUCGGGGGUGAAAGCCUGUGGCUCAACCACAGAAUUGCCUUCGAUACUGUUUGGCUUGAGUAUGGUAGAGGUUGGUGGAACUGCGAGUGUAGAGGUGAAAUUCGUAGAUAUUCGCAAGAACACCGGUGGCGAAGGCGGCCAACUGGACCAUUACUGACGCUGAGGCGCGAAAGCGUGGGGAGCAAACAGGAUUAGAUACCCUGGUA
Molecule: ribosomal RNA, 434 nt
Filed under: uncultured Methylobacterium sp.
Lineage: Bacteria; Pseudomonadati; Pseudomonadota; Alphaproteobacteria; Hyphomicrobiales; Methylobacteriaceae
Description: bacterial SSU rRNA
Rfam family: Bacterial small subunit ribosomal RNA
Source: RNAcentral